Molecule: long non-coding RNA, 5477 nt
Filed under: Cricetulus griseus (Chinese hamster)
Lineage: Eukaryota; Metazoa; Chordata; Mammalia; Rodentia; Cricetidae
Description: lncRNA (ENSCGRG00015037133.1)
Source: RNAcentral
CAUCACCUCGUGGAGAUGAAAGAACACUGUAGGUCAACGAAGCUGACGGGACAAUGGCAUUCCCAGAGCAGUAGUCAACAGGCAGAGCUCUAGCCUUCAGGAUGCGCUAAGCUUCAUGGAUACAUUGGUGACUUGAACACUUCUCCCAGAAAAGUGUCAUUACUAUUUCAUUUCCAAGUGCAGUUCGGAGGUGAGAGAGCUGUGUGUGGUAGGCAAGUCAGAUGUCAGCAAGUAGUGAGAAUACAAAGUCAGGCAAUCUUGCUCCAAGGCCUGUACAUCAAACCCAUCAUGACCUUGCCCAUGAUUGUAAUGUCGGAAUAGCACUUUAUAGACUAUUACAAAAUCUUUCUGGUUGUUUUUGGCAUGGUAAGAGCAACUAUACCCAUUUUAUAGAUGAUACAGCAUUGCCGAAGGUUUUGUGACCCAUCCAGGUCACACAGAGAAGUGGAGAAGUAGAAACUGGAACCCCAUCUCCUGGCCUUGGGUGAAGGAUGCUGAACCAAGAAUCAGCAAGAGAGCUCCUUCCCUCAUUCCCACCCCAUGCUCUGCUAUGAGCCAAGCCCCUGAAGCUCCUCGUGAGAUCACUCCCUCAAUAUGAGGCUCAAGUAAGAAUCUCUAUGACAGGUUCCACUUCUGAGAGAUCCCUCCACCACUGUGUGCCUGCAACAAGAACCAUGGACUUUCUGGCCCACGUUUUUCUCUUCCAUUGAAGUUCCUAGGCAUUGAGUUUCCAGCUGUCGUAUUUGACCUUGAAUACCUUGUAUGAGGUGAAAAAUAAAGCAUCAUGCAGCAUUCAUUUUUCUUAACCCCAUCUUCAUCAUCAUUGCAAAGUGAGGUGAACCUGCAGGCUGUGGGCUCGUUCCCUGGGGAGCCAUGUGUCUGGCUCAUGCAAGCAGGCACAUCCCUACCCAGCACAACCUUGCUGCAAACAGAAACUGUCACACAUCCCCACACUCUAUUCAGCUUGUGAUUCUAAAAAAGGUUGCCAGGUUGGACCAGAUUUCAGCUGCAAUAAAAAGGACCAACUACUUAGUUUCUCUUCAGUCUGUCCUGAAUACAAAUAAUACUUGUGUUUGUCAUAAGGUGUUUAAAGGACUCAGCUUUGAGACUUGGGCUUGGAGAGUCGUGUGCCUUUCAAGGAUUCUUGCAUCUGACCGUUAGAAUGCAGAGAUCACUGGCUGUUAGGAUCUGCCCAGAAAUCCCCCAAGAUGCUGGCACUGGAUGGUAUUAGAAAAUUAUGGUGUUUUGCUGUGUUGCCAGAAAAAAAAGGAAAGAUUAAACAGAAAGCAGGCUUAAUAAAUAAAGUUGAAGGUUGCUGAGCAGAGCAACAGUGAUGAGUCUUCACUCCUGUGGCCAGUGCCUUGAGAUGCCUAGAAUGAGUUAUACCCACCCCAUGCUCCAACACACUCACCCCCACCGUCUCAGUCCUCAUCUUACUAUGAUUGGUUGUUAUAAGUGUCAGGAUUGUUCUGGUUUGGGGUUUUGGGGUGUAUGUGAAUGUUUGCUUGCCUGUGUGCAUGCGGGUAUAUGUGGAGGUCGGAAGUCAAUGCUGGGGAUCCUUCUCAAUUGCUCUCUUUUAUUUAAUGAAGCAGGUUCUCUCUGGGAACCUAGAGCUUGCAGAGCCUGCCUAGUCUAGCUAUCCAGCUUGCCCCAGGAAUAACCUGGCUCUGCCUCCAAAGUGCAAGAAUUACCAGUGGGUCACCAUACUGCCCAAAUUUUAUCUGGCAUCUAGGGUCCAAAAUCUGGACUUUACGAGCUCUGCCAUCUCCCCAGUCCCUGAAUAGGUUUAUAACAUGUACUGUGGGUUUUGGCUGACAUGGGGUAAUGGGUGUUAGAUGUCCCAGUCCGACUCUCCUGGGAGAUGCUAUGGGCCUUUGCUGGGUGAACCGUUGGUCACUGGAAGCAUGCAUGUCCUUAAAGGGUCUCCGGAGCCCUGGGCUAUUGUUGUUUGUUUUUCAGUCUUUUGUGUAUGCUCAUGAAUAUGGGGUGUGUGUGUGUGUGUGUGUGUGUUUCUGUGUAAGAGCACACAUGAAUGCACCAUGGCACAUGCCUGGAGGUCAAAAGCCAACCUUGGGUGGUGAAUUGUCACCUUCCAUCUUAUAUGAGACAGAGUUUGUUUUAUUCACUGUCACACAUGAGCUUCCAAGGAUUCUCCUGUCUCUAUCUCCCAUCUCAAGUAGGGGCACUGGCAUUACAGAUGCACACUGUCACCCCCAGCUUUUAGUGGGUUCUGAGCAUCUGAAUUCAGGUCUGCCCUUGGGUGACAAGCACUUUACUCUCUGGGUCACCCACUAGAGCCUGGUUGACCUACCAGGGACCACUCCCUUAAGAAGAACUGACUCUCCCUCCCCUCUAGGACAUCAGCUAUCAAGGGCUCAUUAGCUAGAAGUGGCGGCUCCUGAGACUCUCCCUCCUCGGCCUGGAUGUUGGUUGACAGACCUUGUGCAGCGCAGCCAAACACAGCUACUGUGAGUUCAUAAGUGCCAUAGACCUGGCCAUGUCCAAAAGACAUUGUUUUGACCUAGUCCUCUUUAACCUGUUCUUGCAGUCUUUCUGUCCCCCUUUCCCCAUUGGUCCCUGGCCCUUGCAGGGAGGAUGCUUUAGUAGAGAUAUCCCAUUUGUGGCUGACCUCUUCAGAGAUACUCAUUUUCUGUACUUGGACCAUUGUGAGUUUCUAACUUAACCACCAUCUACCAAUACUGAUUGUCCCCCCAGGGAGAGCCUUUCACAGCCAUGUGGCCAAAAGUCCUUAAAAGCAGAAUUUGCCUCAUUCUGUGACUCCAGGGCCAUCUGAUCCUGCAAGAUAGAGGUGGUGGGACAAAUCUAACAAGGAAAGUCAAAAAGGAAAAAUGUGGCCACCACUGCUAUUUUAAAUGUUUGUUCACAUGACAUUCAAGUAGAUCUGUGGUGUGACCUGAAGGCCCCGUGUCUAACCUGAUGUUGGGCUGUGUGAACAAGGUACAGAGGCAGAUACAGUGUGCAAACUUGAGAGCACAGGGGUGACCCAGGGGACAGAGCUGAACUGCCUCAUGACCUCAGAGCAGGUGCAAAGUUUCUGCCACAUCCACACUCUCUAACCUCCUGACGGUAAAAUGGGGGUCCUAAUGCCUCCCUGAACGUCUGUUUUGAGAGAUAAGCCACAUCAUGGAUGAGAGAGAUCCAGCAAGGUAUCUAGUGUGGAAAAGCUGUGUGUGAUAUCUAUUUCUGAAGCUAAGUUGUCUAAAACACUGCUCACUUUACAGAUGAAAACAUUGGGACCCGGAGGAGGGCAGGGACUUGCCAAGGCCACACAGCAAGCCUAGCUAGAGGCCUCUAAGCCCCUCACUUCCUUUCCUUCAUCAUAUGACACUUGUUGCUGAAUAUGGGACAGUGUGGGUUGUCCCCAAAGGGCUGCACUGCAGGACAGGAGUAUCAACAUUUCCCUGGGAAGAUGGCUCAUGCAUAGCCUCAGAUUCUGAGACAGUGGGGAAAGAGAAGGAGAGAGGUGACUCCCUUCAGCAGGAGUCUCCCCAGUUUGUUUCUUCUUGGGUAGGGAUUCCGUCUGCCUCCUGCCAGUGUGGCAUCACCUGCUCCUUCAACCUGAGUCUAGGGUAGCUACCUGGAUGGAGAAGAAGAGACAAGACACUGGAGACAGGCUGCCACCUCCCAGAGCAGAGGACCACCAACAGAAGCAAGCCAUGCAACCAUCCUAAGAACAGAGCAUCCCACUGGUAACAGAACUUGUGAGCAUAGAACCUUUAAAGCCAGCUUGUCCAUCAGUCAAGUUGGAUGGGGAGGGGCUGGCCCUCAACCCCUGUUCCAACAGAGUUGCCCUGAGCCAGGCCCACCGAGUACUGGCCUUUCUGCUCUGUCUCUGCUACCCACAUCCCAGCAACCUCUGGGUUCAAACCUCCUCUCCAUCCUGAUUAAACUCUCUCUCCCUUACAUCUGUAAUCACGUGCUGGGCUGUGAAUUUCAAAACCCCAUAUAAAUACGCGCUUUAGAAUUAAACUGCUUCAGCAAUUCCCGACAAUGAUUUCUCCAAAAUUAAGCCCAGACAAUUUGUUGAGCCAGAGCACAACAUCUGAAACAUGCAUGAUGGGCUGGGAAGGAAUGUUCUCUGAGCCCAAUGGCUUCAUAAACAAGGCUCCUCUGAAGGCAAAAGGCGGGCUCCACAGGCACGUGCUGCCCCCUGGCAGCACUGAGGGUUAGUGGCAUCCCAGAAUGUCACACACUAUCCAAAGGAAACAAAGCCUAGCCACUCUUGAGCUCAGCUUCCCCCACUCAGAGACUACCCUGAAACUCCAACUGUAAGAAAAAAAACCUGUGAAAAAGACAAAAGGGUGGAAUGAGCUUGGACCUGUAUAGCUGGUGUAGCCUCCACUGUGAAUAAAAGGAAUGAAGCACACACAAGCUGGGUACAGAGGAAUCCCCCAAGCGUCAUGUUGAGGGAACCUGCAAGGCCGUACACUGCUCGGCUCUGUUUAUCUCAUGUCCCGAACAGACAGGUAGAGAGGAACAGAAAGCACAUGAGAGGUGGGUGGUCAGAGGUCUGGGAGAAAUAGGGGUUGAGUGAGUGGGUGAGUUCAUGACUCAUGGGUUUCAGCAUGUAAAGAUGAAAGUAUCUUAGAACUAGACAACAAUGAUAAAACAAUGUGGGUGUGCAGAAUGCCGCCAAGCUGCACACCUUACAGUGGAAAUUUUGGAUAAACAAAUGUUUAUAAAUAAAUAAAUGGGGCUCCGUAGGUGAAGGUGUUUGGCAAUGAGCCUGACAACCUGAGUUAGAUCCUAAGACCCACAAGGUAGAAGUAGAGAAAAAAAAUCCCUGCAGGUUACCCACAGACCUCCCCACAAUAAUAACAACAACAAUAAUAAUAAUAAAUAUUGUGGUAUGAUUACUUACUGUAGUCAAAUUGACCACUGUGAUGGUCAGUCUUGUCCACUUGACAGGAUCUAGAGUUCCCUGGGAGACGAGCAUCUGGGCAUGCUUGUGAGGGUUAACUAAGCAAGAAGGCCAUCCUUAGUGGGUAGUUCCAUCCAUGGGUUGGGGUCCUGAACUGAAUGAGAAGGAAAAACCAAAGCAAGCUGCACACCACCAUUUGUCUCUCCCUUUGCUUCUGGACUCUGGAUACAAUGACCAGCUGCCUCAUGUUCCUGCCACCAAGCCUUCUGGCCUCUCUGCCUUGGAACUGUGAGCCUAAAGCAACCAAGCCUUCCCUCCUUAAAUUGCUUCGUGGGGUAUUCUGUUAAACAAGAAAGUGACUAAUACAGUCUUAAAAACAAGCUCAACCCUUUCUCACCCACCUUCCUGUCCCUCUCUCCUUCCCCUCAGAUGCUCCGGCCUAUCUUGAAGUGACAAUUUCAGAAUAUCCUCAAAGGACUCUUUUCUGCCAAGAUGGGUCACCAGUUCCUUCUUCCAGGACCAGGCAAAGAUGAAAUGAGAAGCGGGGCGGCCACCUUCAACCACAGGUAACAAAGCUCCAGGAUACCGAGGAGAG